RNAcentral lists this ribosomal RNA (629 nucleotides) under Clostridioides difficile. RNAcentral's name for it is "bacterial LSU rRNA". It matches the Rfam family "Bacterial large subunit ribosomal RNA", at positions 135 to 768 of the family's 2925-position model. The record is from RNAcentral. Lineage: Bacteria; Bacillati; Bacillota; Clostridia; Peptostreptococcales; Peptostreptococcaceae.
GUGUAUAAGAGACAGAUCAUUAAGUGAAUACAUAGCUUAAUGAGGGGAACUCAGGGAACUGAAACAUCUAAGUACCUGAAGGAAGAGAAAGAAAUUCGAUUCCGUAAGUAGCGGCGAGCGAACGCGGAUUAGCCCAAACCAAUAAAGUUUUCUUUAUUGGGGUUGCGGACAUAUCAUAACGAAGAGGUAUCGUAAUUGAAGAGGUUUGGAAAGACCCACCACAGAAGGUAAUAGUCCUGUAUGUUAAACGAGAAGACUUUAGAUAUGAUCCAGAGUACCACGGGACACGUGAAACCCUGUGGGAAGCAGGAGGGACCACCCUCCAAGGCUAAAUACUACCUAGUGACCGAUAGCGUAUAGUACCGUGAGGGAAAGGUGAAAAGAACCCCGGGAGGGGAGUGAAAUAGAACCUGAAACCCUGCACUUACAAGCUGUGGAAGCACAUUUCUUGUGUGACCGCGUACUUUUUGUAGAACGGGCCAACGAGUUACGUUAAGUAGCAAGGUUAAGCACUUAAGGUGCGGAGCCGUAGCGAAAGCGAGUUUUAACUGAGCGUUCAGUUACUUGACGUAGACCCGAAACCGGGCGACCUACCCAUGAGCAGGAUGAAGCGAAAGUAAAAUUUCGUG